UUGUUUAUAAGUGACGCUAUCUCGCUGCACCGCUCCCUCAGUUUCAUUAUCUCUUCCUCCCAGAUGGGCCGUAUCUUCCCUCCUUCACUCGGCUUCCCUCUGCGCUGGCCUCAGCUUCUUCCCUUCCUCUUCCCAGCUCUCCAUCCUUCAUCCUUGCUCCCCGGUGAUGGUCCCACCAGGUACUCCUCAGCAACGCUAGAAACUGCUCCGGUCCUUGCACGGUCUCUCCAUGCCGCGAUCCGGGCGCUGCUGUGCUUCCUGCUUCCUUGAACCUCAUUUUUGUUUCGUUGAACCGCAUUUUCUUUUUUCCAGGGGGAGUUUAACUGCAUGGAACUGAACCCCACAGAAUGUUGUACAUCAACAUGUCCCUCUAAGGCAGCAUCUGCACAGAUGUAGCAUCACUGGUUGUGUCCAGUUCAGGGUCCUCCCAACACAAGGACAUGAAGCUGUUGGAGUGCCAAGAAGAUCAGAAGACUGGAGCAUCUCCCCUAUGGGGAAAGGCUCCUGGUUUUCACCUUCAUGUGUGCCGCAGGCUGGCCUCAUGCUCUUCCUGCUCUAAGUUAAACAGCUGCUACUGGUGCUUCCACUAAAGAUCUUCUGACCUGUCUCUGCCUUCCACAAAGAGGAGGCCGUUCUGAUGAGCAACCCCAUCUCCAUCAGCUGCUCCUCACCAGCCCUGUUCUCCAGACCCUUCCCCAGCUUUGUUGCCCUUCUCUGAACCUGCUCUGGCCUCUCGAUGUCCUUCUUGGAGUGAGGGGCCCAAAAGUGAACCCAGAACUCAAGGUGAUGCCUAACUAGUGCUGAGUACAGGCAGACAAUAGCUCUCCUGGGCCUACUGGUCACACUAUCGCUGACCCAGGACAGGAUGCUGGUGGUCUCCUUGACCACCUGGGCAAACUAGCCUGAGCUAUCCAUAGAAUCUUGCAGGUAGGCUUCCCCAUAGACUAGCCCUUGGUGCUGGAUUUUCCUGCAGGACCAUGGAUGAACUUGAAGAACCUGUUUAAACCUGCCGUUCCCGCAGCGCCGCUGGACGCUGCUGCACGUGGUUUUACCAUUUCCUGGGUUUUGUGAGGGUGCAGUUGGAAGCUGCCACACAGUGUUGCAGAUUACUUGACCAAAAAGAGGUGGGGAUGAGAAUAGAUUGGAUAUUAGGAAAAAAAAUCAUUCCUGAAAGAGUGGUGAGGAGCUGGCACAGACUGCAGCCCAGGGAGGUGGUAGAGUCACCAUCCCUGGAGGUGUUAAAAAAAUGCACAGAGCUGGCACUUCAGGACAGGGUUUAGUGGUCAAAGUGGUAUUAGGUUGAUGGUUGAACUUGAUGAUCUUAGAGGUCUUUUCCAACCUUAAUGAUUCUAUGAAAGGUUCUAUGAAAGAAUCCACCAGCACAAUUACAGGGUUAUGCAAUCACCUUGUGCACAUGCCACAGGUUUGGAAUUCAAACCUGCUGCAAAUCCCCAGCAAGCCGUGGCUCUGGGAUUAGAAAAGAUUACACAGCAUAGAACUUGGUGGAGCACUGGGGAUUCCUGCACCGAGUCCUGUUAAAUUUAGGUUUUUUUCUGGAGGGAAGAGAGUCACUGUGGCAUUUCUGUGACUUGAUCCCUCAGCUAGGUUGGUCUACAAGGUGACCCUGAGUGCUGCUGAGCUGGCAGUGGGUCUGGGGAGAGCCAUCUCUGCCUGAGCCCAGCGCUUGCUUGGAGAAGAGCAGAGCGUUCCCAGCUGCAUCCCGGAAUAGCUCUGCUCUCUCUUCCCCUGGCUCAGGCUGUCACACUGUAUUUUAACUACAAAUCUGUUAUUCUGCCUGCUGGCUGCCAGAAUCACUUUUAAAAACAACCCAGCUCAGUAAUAGUGGAUUUUGGGUGGUUUUCUUCUCAGCAUUCUCUUCAGCUGUAGCUGAGAUUUCACCUGCAUGGCUGCAGCUCCAGGUGCUGUCCAGGAAUACAGAUGACCUCCACUCCUCCGACCAGAGCAAUGAUGUGACAAAUGUGAAGUACAAGGCACUGAGAAACUUAUGACAUCAGUUUUUAUGUUUUGAUUAGGGUGGUUUCUACAUCCUCAUGUUCUCUGUGCACAGAAGGAGGGCACAUCUCCUCUCUACAGACACAGGAACCAAGCACUAUUCCAGUUUAUUGUUGUGCUGGUGGGACAAAGCCUUUAAUGAAACACAAAGAAAUUAUGCAGGGCAGUUUGACCCCUGCUGUGUUAGUGUGGUGACUGAGUCCCUGCCCAUGGCAGCGGGGUUGGAGUAAAUGAUCUCUAAGGUCCCUUCCAACCUAAACUAUUCUGUGAUUCUAUGGUGACUGAAACUGAGGUGUCUCUAGUCAAGCUGGAUGGGGGUCUGAGCAACCUGAUCCAGCUGAAGAUGAGCAGAGCACUGGUUCUGCUGCUCAGUGAUGUCUUUAACAUUUGUGUUGAUUAACAACUGAAUUCAUUCUACACCACUGGCUGCUGCACUUCACACUUUGUGAUUUAAAGGCUUUAUUUAUACUGCACAAAGAGAAGACUCAAGUAAAAGCCCCAGCAAUAGUUAAAGCUUCAGAAUGGAGUACAAUGGUGUUCUGUGAUAGGACAGGGGGCAAUGGAUGCAAACUGGAACACAGGAAGUUCCACCUCAACAUGAAGAGAAACUUCUUUACUGUGAGGGUGCUGGAGCCCUGGAGCAGGCUGCCCAGAGAGGAGUCUCCUUCUCUAGACAACUUCAAGAUCCACCUGGAUGUGUUCCUGUGUGACUUGUCCUUAGGUGAUCCUGCUUUGGCAGGGGAGUUGAACUCGGUAUCUGGAAGUGCCUUCCAAGCCCUACCAUGCUAUGACUCUCUGAUUCUACUUAAAAGUCAUGAAAAGAUGACCUAAAUUUUAGCAUUCAUCACUCUCAGAGGAUAUCCAUGGAGGGCUUGAUGCUUGGGCUGCCCAGAGAGGUGGUUAGUCACCAACCCUGGAUGUGUUUAAAGGUCGUUUGAAUGUGGUGCAUGGGGUUUGGGGUUUGGGGGUAAAGCUUGUAGAGUAGGGUUAUUGGUUGGACUUUUCCAAGCCUGAAUGUUUCUGUGACUCUGUGUGAUUCUUGCUGAGUAUGUGUGACAUCUGCAGGGCUGUCAGUGGCCCAUGAUCAUGAAAAGAGCAGGGACCUCCUUCCAAACACUCCUGUUUAAAGCUGGGUGUGGAUGCAUGUUCCUGCCAUGCACCCAGCUCUGUUUCCAGGGAACAGGGUGGGAGGAAAAUGUUGCUAAAAACCUUGAUGCAUAAGGCUUUAACAGAGAUGGUUAUCUUGUCUCCUCAUCAUCUUUACCUGUGUUGCUGCCUGGACAACCAUGGUGUAUUAUGGAAAUAAAAUGUCAAGUCACUCAGGUUUGGGUUCUGCUGUUUGUUAAAUACCUUUUGAUGGAGGUAGGAGGAAAUGUGUAUGUCUGCAGUGAAGGACAAAUAUCAGCCCUGGGGUACAAACAGCACAGCAGACACUUGUUAAAAAGGGGAGCUGGGAGGCAAAACGGAGUGGUAUAUAAGAUGGAAUGAAAGAUCAUGGAGAGAGAAGUGAUACAGUCCACCAAAUAGAUGCAGUCAGGAUUUAGGAAUCACAGAAUCAUAGAAUGGCUUAAAUUGGAAGGGACCCUAGAACUCAUCUACUCCAACCUCCCCUCCGUGGGCAGGGACACCUCUCAAAUAGACCUUAUUUUUAAUGGGUGUUCUUUGUAGGAUGCUAAAAUCAUAGAGUCACAGAGUGGUUUGCAUUGGAAGGGUCCUUAAAGAUCAUAUAGUUUCAAACUCCUGUCAUGGGCAGGGAUACCUCCCACUAGACCAGGCUGCUCCAAGGAUGAUCCAAGGGCUGGAGCACUUCUGCUGUGAGGAGAGGCUGAAGGAGCUGGGGUUGUUCAGCCUGGAGAAGACAAGACUCUGGGGGAACCUUAGACCUGCCUUCCAAUAUCUGAAGGGAGCCUACAGGAAAGCUGGAGAUGGAAUUUUCAUAAGGGUGGCCAGAGACAGGACAAGAGGGAAUGGUUUUAAGCUGAGGGAGAGUAGAUUUAGACUGGAUCUUAGGAAGAAGUUCUCCAGUACCAGGGUGGUGAGACCCUGGAAUUGGUUUCACAGAGAGAUUGUGGAUGUGUUCUCCCUGGAGGUGUUCAAGACCAGGUUGGAUGAGGCCUUGAGCAGCUGAAUCUAGUUGAGAGGUGUCCCUGCCCAUGACAGGGAGGUCAGAGUGGAUUACCUCUGAGGUUCCUUCCAGCCUAAGCCAUUCUGUGAUUCUAUGAUUUUGGAGGCUCUGCAUGGUUCAUACCCAUGAGAGCUGCUCAGAUGUGUUGUUUUGGAGAUGUAGACAUAUGAGUUGUUUGCCAAAGGAUCUCUCAAAACCUGAAUUUGGUGCAGCCUGAGUUGGCUGCUGUGCUACGAUGUGUGGUCCCCUCUUACCACCACAUGUCUGAAACUGUCCCACAUAAUUUCUGUUGAUUUGGUAAAUAAUUUCCUUGAAUACUCAGAAAACAAAACAAGGAGCUGAAAUUGCCUCUUGGUAUUUCUUCAGUCCAAACAAACAAAGAAACAAACAAACAAACAAGCAGAUUGUGUGGCUUAUGUGUCUAGUCAAAACAUCUCCAUUAUUAAUAUUAAGCCCCUGGGUGCCUGGAGAACCAGCUUCUGAAUGAGCUACAAAGCU
Long non-coding RNA from Indicator indicator, 4636 nucleotides. RefSeq lists it as uncharacterized. The transcript is spliced from 3 exons. NCBI's taxonomy places the organism in Eukaryota, Metazoa, Chordata, Aves, Piciformes, Indicatoridae. The record is from RefSeq and is a predicted model, not a curated record.